Molecule: non-coding RNA, 1125 nt
Organism: Osmia lignaria (orchard mason bee)
Lineage: Eukaryota; Metazoa; Arthropoda; Insecta; Hymenoptera; Megachilidae
Source: RefSeq, a predicted model, not a curated record
UUACCAUUCUAUAACUGGGGUGGAUAAUCAAGAGAUAUAUGUCGACGUCAUUCAGCCUGUUGAAGCUUUAUCAAUGAAUCGUUACUCUGUCCGUGCAAACGUAACAGUAUCAUAUUUAACCGAGCAAGAGGAGACGACCAGUCUACGACUGAUAAGAGUAACAAACCCGCGAGUUUGAUUCAAUUUCCACGGCGAUCCGUUCGAAUCGCGAGAUUGGAUCGGUUAAUUGAAAAAUUCAACGUGCGCGAUCGCUACCUAACGAGAUUUUCGUUACACCGUGGAUUAUCUCUGUGACAUUAUUCCAACGGCAUGGAAAUGCGCAGAUUUUACGAUUUGACGUAUUUCAACUUGAUCCGACUGGUUGACGAUAGUCGAGUGUAAGUCCGAAUAGAAAAUAUAAUAUAUUAUUCAUGAUUAAAUUGUCACGGAAGAAUGAAACAUCGUUCAUCUUGACGUCAGUCAAAAGUGCAAAACAAAUGCGAAAGCUGUGUUUUCUUUUCGUAUUUUUAUCGUCGAAAAAGUUUCGUUCCAGUAAUACUGCGAGACAGCGUUUCGAGCGAGGAUUAUUUUCCACCGGACACGACUGCUGCUCGAGGGUGAAGCAAGUUUCCGGUCGUCGUGCGGCACGAAGCGUUGUCGUUGUCAUCAAACUCGCAUUCACUUUACACCAGCUGAGAGGACAAGCGCGCUGUGUGCAACGCUCGCAAAAAUCCACUUUCCAGCUUUGAGCUCCACUCCCGCUCGAUGAAUUAUUCCAUCGAACAAGACGGAUGAGGAAUAAUAUUCCAAUUUCGCUGCUCUAACGCGGCCACCUUCGAUCCUCGACAUAAUGGGCCGCCACGAUCUUGUUAUGUGAAUUAUGCGACAUCCUGUCCAGACUCGUGCACACUGUAGGAACAACGUCGAAAUUCCCGAGGACGUGCUCCGAAGCUGUUACGAUGUUACCCGAGUUUCGAGUUAAUUUCAAAAAGAAGAGACCGGACUAAAUAUUUUGUGACAAUAAAAGACUGCUUUACACAGAAGAAAGCCAUGUAGUAAUAAGAAACUUGAAACUGUAUCGGUUACCGUUAGUCUAUUAUAUUUUAUCGAAGCUGAUAUCCUGAGAAUAGUACAGCUAUUACAAAA